This 71-nucleotide transfer RNA is filed under the name Loxodonta africana (African savanna elephant). It matches the Rfam family "tRNA". Rfam says of the family: Transfer RNA (tRNA) molecules are approximately 80 nucleotides in length. Their secondary structure includes four short double-helical elements and three loops (D, anti-codon, and T loops). Lineage: Eukaryota; Metazoa; Chordata; Mammalia; Proboscidea; Elephantidae. The record is from Rfam by way of RNAcentral.
GCAGUGGUGGCUCAGUGGUAGAGCUCUCGCCUUCCAUGUAGGAGACCCAGGUUUGAUUCCUGGCCAAUGAA